UACGUAGGUGGCAAGCGUUGUCCGGAAUUAUUGGGCGUAAAGCGCGCGCAGGCGGUCCUUUAAGUCUGAUGUGAAAGCCCACGGCUCAACCGUGGAGGGUCAUUGGGGACCGCACCGCUUGAGGGCGGUAGGGGCUGGUGGAAUGCCUGGUGUAGUGGUGAAAUGCGUAGAGAUCAGGCGGAACACCCGUGGCGAAGGCGGCCAGCUGGGCCGUCCCUGACGCUGAGGCGCGAAGGCGUGGGGAGCGAACGGG
RNAcentral lists this ribosomal RNA (253 nucleotides) under uncultured bacterium. Its description in RNAcentral is "partial 16S ribosomal RNA". It matches the Rfam family "Bacterial small subunit ribosomal RNA", at positions 524 to 776 of the family's 1533-position model. The record is from RNAcentral.